CGACGGGAUUAAGAGCCGCCGCAACAA
This 27-nucleotide small nuclear RNA is filed under the name Arabidopsis thaliana (thale cress). RNAcentral's name for it is "snRNA_13392". The record is from RNAcentral. Lineage: Eukaryota; Viridiplantae; Streptophyta; Magnoliopsida; Brassicales; Brassicaceae.